This 395-nucleotide ribosomal RNA is filed under the name uncultured microorganism. Its description in RNAcentral is "bacterial SSU rRNA". It matches the Rfam family "Archaeal small subunit ribosomal RNA", at positions 330 to 731 of the family's 1478-position model. The record is from RNAcentral.
GUGCAGCAGUCGCGAAUACUUUACAAUGUGCGAAGCACGAUAAGGGAACUCUGAGUGCCUCCUAAGGAGGCUGUUCAGGUGUCUAAAAGCACCUGAAGGAAGGGCUGGGUAAGACCGGUGCCAGCCGCCGCGGUAACACCGGCAGCCCAAGUGGUAGCCACGUUUAUUGGGUCUGAAGCGUCCGUAGCCGGCUGGGUAAGUUCCUUGGGAAAUUUGGCUGCUUAACAGUCAAGCUUUCAGGGAAUACUGCCCGGCUUGGGGACCGGGAGAGGUCAGAGGUACUCCAGGGGUAGGGGUGAAAUCCAUUAAUCCUUGGGGGACCACCGGUAGCGAAGGCGUCUGACCAGACCGGGUCCGACGGUGAGGGACGAAGGUUAGGGGCGCGAACCGGAUUA